UAGGGAAUUGUUCGCAAUGGGCGCAAGCCUGACGACGCAACGCCGCGUGGAGGAUGAAGAUCUUCGGGUCGUAAACUCCUUUCGAUCGAGACGAAUGGGUUUCGAGUUAACAGCUCGGAACAUUGACGGUACCGAGAGAAGAAGCCCCGGCUAACUCCGUGCCAGCAGCCGCGGUAAUACGGGGGGGGCAAGCGUUGUUCGGAAUUACUGGGCGUAAAGGGCUCGUAGGUGGCCAACUAAGUCAUACGUGAAAUCCCUCGGCUUAACCGGGGAACUGCGUCUGAUACUGGAUGGCUUGAGUUUGGGAGAGGGAUGCGGAAUUCCAGGUGUAGCGGUGAAAUGCGUAGAUAUCUGGAGGAACACCGGUGGCGAAGGCGGCAUCCUGGACCAAUACUGACACUGAGGAGCGAAAGCCAGGGGAGCAAA
This 426-nucleotide ribosomal RNA is filed under the name uncultured bacterium. Its description in RNAcentral is "bacterial SSU rRNA". It matches the Rfam family "Bacterial small subunit ribosomal RNA", at positions 355 to 772 of the family's 1533-position model. The record is from RNAcentral.